AUUAGUGGCGAACGGGUGAGUAACACGUGAGUAACCUGCCCUUCACUUUGGGAUAACUCCGAGAAAUCGGGGCUAAUACCGGAUAUGACUACUGGCCGCAUGGUUGGUGGUGGAAAGUUUUUCGGUGAGGGAUGGGCUCGCGGCCUAUCAGUUUGUUGGUGAGGUAGUGGCUCACCAAGGCGAUGACGGGUAGCCGGCCUGAGAGGGCGACCGGCCACACUGGGACUGAGACACGGCCCAG
This 241-nucleotide ribosomal RNA is filed under the name uncultured Actinomycetales bacterium. RNAcentral's name for it is "partial 16S ribosomal RNA". It matches the Rfam family "Bacterial small subunit ribosomal RNA", at positions 91 to 334 of the family's 1533-position model. The record is from RNAcentral. Lineage: Bacteria; Bacillati; Actinomycetota; Actinomycetes; Actinomycetales.